This 877-nucleotide ribosomal RNA is filed under the name uncultured eukaryote. RNAcentral's name for it is "SSU rRNA". It matches the Rfam family "Eukaryotic small subunit ribosomal RNA", at positions 636 to 1469 of the family's 1831-position model. The record is from RNAcentral.
CGGUGUUCAACUGGCGUGUCCGCGGGACGUCCUGCCGGUGGGCUUAGCCCGCAAGGGCGGCCCAACUUCAAAUCCCAUCGCGGUGCUCUUCACUGAGUGUCGAGGUGGGCCGGCACGUUUACUUUGAACAAAUUAGAGUGCUUAAAGCAGGCUAAAACUUCGCCUGAAUACUGUGUGCAUGGAAUAAUGGAAUAGGACCUCGGUUCUAUUUUGUUGGUUUUCGGAACCCCGAGGUAAUGAUUAAUAGGAACGGAUGGGGGCAUUCGUAUUGCGACGUUAGAGGUGAAAUUCUUGGAUCGUCGCAAGACGGACAGAAGCGAAAGCAUUUGCCAAAAACGCUUUCAUUGAUCAAGAACAAAAGUUAGAGGUUCGAAGGCGAUCAGAUACCGCCCUAGUUCUAACCAUAAACGAUGCCAGCUAGCGAUCCGUCGACGUUCCUCCGAUGACUCGACGGGCAGCUUCCGGGAAACCAAAGCUUUUGGGUUCCGGGGGAAGUAUGGUUGCAAAGCUGAAACUUAAAGGAAUUGACGGAAGGGCACCACCAGGAGUGGAGCCUGCGGCUUAAUUUGACUCAACACGGGAAACCUCACCAGGCCCGGACACCGGAAGGAUUGACAGAUUGAGAGCUCUUUCUUGAUUCGGUGGGUGGUGGUGCAUGGCCGUUCUUAGUUGGUGGAGCGAUUUGUCUGGUUAAUUCCGAUAACGAACGAGACUCUAGCCUGCUAACUAGGCGUAUUUUCGACAUCUCAAAGGUCCGUCGUCCCGGCCCUCGGGUCGUGGGCGUGCGCGAUUUUUACUGUCGGCGUACUAUCAAUUCUUCUUAGAGGGACAGGUGGCUUCUAGCCGCACGAGAUUGAGCAAUAACAGGUCUGUGAUG